CCCUACGGGGCGCAGCAGGCGCGAAAUCUUCACAGUGUGCGAAAGCACGAUGAGGGAAUCCCAAGUGCUAGCACGUAAGUGUUAGCUGUUUCUAAGUCUAAAAAACUCAGAGAGUAAGGGCUGGGUAAGACGGGUGCCAGCCGCCGCGGUAAUACCUGCAGCUCAAGUGGUGGCCGCUAUUAUUGGGCCUAAAACGUCCGUAGCCUGUUUAGUAAAUGCUUGGGUAAAUUGUGUAGCUUAACUAUACGAAUACCGGGUAGACUGCUAAACUUGGGACCGGGAGAGGCUAGAGGUACUCCUGGGGUAGAGGUGAAAUUCUGUAAUCCUAGGGGGACCACCAGUGGCGAAGGCGUCUAGCCAGAACGGGUCUGACGGUGAGGGACGAAGCCCUGGGGCGCGAACCGGAUUAGAUACCCGGGUAGUCCAGGGUGUAAACGCUGCUUGCUUGAUGUUAGUUGGGCUCCGAGCCCAACUAGUAUCGGAGAGAAGUUGUUAAGCAAGCUGCCUGGGAAGUACGGUCGCAAGACUGAAACUUAAAGGAAUUGGCGGGGGGCAC
RNAcentral lists this ribosomal RNA (556 nucleotides) under uncultured archaeon. RNAcentral describes it as "bacterial SSU rRNA". It matches the Rfam family "Archaeal small subunit ribosomal RNA", at positions 321 to 879 of the family's 1478-position model. The record is from RNAcentral.